AUCUAGCUAGCUAUAUUGUCCAGAAACCCUCACAGGAAGAGCGCUGGUCGUUGAUGCCAACUUUCGUAGUGGCCAAAUGGCAGUACUACAACUUCUGGGUCCCUCACGUGAUGCCAUUGGGCCCAAAAAGACUUUUCCCCAUAGACUUACAUUGGGAAAGAGACGUAUGUAACUCAGAGGAUAAUUUUUUUUGAGGUGA
This is a long non-coding RNA of Sebastes umbrosus (honeycomb rockfish), 199 nucleotides long. RefSeq lists it as uncharacterized. The transcript has 3 exons. NCBI's taxonomy places the organism in Eukaryota, Metazoa, Chordata, Actinopteri, Perciformes, Sebastidae. The record is from RefSeq and is a predicted model, not a curated record.